CUUGGCCCGUUGAUUUGCUAGGAGAAGCUUGCUGCAGAUGGUUUUCCUGAUGCUGUUGCGGUCGGAGGAGGAGCUCGGGGCCUCACUAUCUCUGGGAAUGGCUGCUGUUUCAUCAGGGGAGCUCCAACCUUUACCAUGAGCAUCACUUCCUGCCUCCAAUGUGGAUCCCUCACGUUGAUGGCGCAAAUUCUUCAUCUGACUGGAGUAGGUUUUCUGGCUUCCACAACUGGCCUUUGGGCUUCCAGGUGCAGAACUUCAAUAUGAACAAGAAUGAGACAUUGCCGUGGGCUCUAGACCACUGGCUGGACUUGAGCAGGAGAUUGCCUUGGACUCUAAGUCUUUAGCUGGAUUUGUGUGGGAAAUUGCUGGGAUCCAGGCCCUCAGCUGAAUCCUCUGGGCUUCUAGUGUGCAGUUACUCACUUUGCACUCCUUUGCAUUUGACUCUUUGGCACAGGAAACUGUUGGCCUGAAUGAAGGUGGGAGCCUCUUCAUCUCUCCUCACUGCAUCUCCAGACUACUCUAUCCGGUCUUCACCCAUAAGAAAGUGCACAGCCACAGGUCUGGACUUUGAGAUCUGGCACCAUGCUAUUUCUGGCUCUUCUGCAAACCCAAAAUGACCAGGAAAGGUAAGUGUUUUGAAUCCAUUCAGGACAUCAGGGCAGCCGUAAGAGUGCAACUAAAUACACCAAAAAGGACUUCCAGAAAUGCUUCAGAAAAUGGCACAAUAAGAUGUUCGAAGUUCAUAUUAACACCUCCUCCAUGCCAGCCAUAGAACCGGCCAUUUUUCUAUGGAGCCCUAUCUUCUUUGGAAGAUUCCAUGCUAUAAGCCUACCCAAAAUGACAACGCCUGGCACCUAUGGAGGGCCUUUAGAUAGACCCUCUGUAGAGUAACUGACUGCUGAUCACAACUACAACUGAUCACAACUUCAGCCAGAAGUAGCCAGAAUGGUCUUUGCUCUUUGCCCCCUCACACCAGUUAGAGGUUCUUCAGAGGGGGGAAUAUUGCAGAUAGGUAAGUUUAUUAGAUAUCUUGUAGGCAGAUAGACAGAGCCAGCCCAGGAGGAGCCAACAUGGCAGACAAUCAAGACACAUUCACUGAAGGCCAGCAUUGUAAGAGAAGAGAAACUACUACACCCAGGUGCUUCCCCUAAGGAUAAAUAGGUAUCAGCCACAUGGGUGGGAGACAAAGAUCUUCCAGGAAAGAUCCUUGACCCACCCUUUUCCACUAAAAAUCCUUGCUCAUUCUUUGUAUGCUUGCUAUGUGACUUGUUUCCCCAUUGGAUCCCUAUUUAAUCAGUAUUACCUAAGCAACUAUACUUGUCAUAAUCUUAUUGGUUUUCAUAGUUUUGUCCACCUUGUGAUUUCUCUCAUUGGAUCAAUAUUACCUGGGUGACUGUACUUAUAAUCUUAUUGGUUGGCCAUGGUUUUGUCCCACCUCAUGCCUGCCUUGUAAAUUUCCAUUGGGCCUUAUAGUUUUGUCCCACUUUAUACCCACCUCACCACAUGACAUGGCUGUAUAAAACAUCUUUGAAAAGUGGGGUGGGCAGGCAAUCCACUUUCCAGUCCCCCUUCUGACUCUCUUAGAAGC
Heterocephalus glaber (naked mole-rat) is the source of this 1588-nucleotide long non-coding RNA. The record is from Ensembl. NCBI's taxonomy places the organism in Eukaryota, Metazoa, Chordata, Mammalia, Rodentia, Bathyergidae.